GAUGAACGCUGGCGGCGUGCCUAAUACAUGCAAGUCGAGCGAACAGACGAGGAGCUUGCUCCUCUGACGUUAGCGGCGGACGGGUGAGUAACACGUGGAUAACCUACCUAUAAGACUGGGAUAACUUCGGGAAACCGGAGCUAAUACCGGAUAAUAUAUUGAACCGCAUGGUUCAAUAGUGAAAGACGGUUUUGCUGUCACUUAUAGAUGUAUCCGCGCCGCAUUAGCUAGUUGGUAAGGUAACGGCUUACCAAGGCAACGAUGCGUAGCCGACCUGAGAGGGUGAUCGGCCACACUGGAACUGAGACACGGUCCAGACUCCUACGGGAGGCAGCAGUAGGGAAUCUUCCGCAAUGGGCGAAAGCCUGACGGAGCAACGCCGCGUGAGUGAUGAAGGUCUUCGGAUCGUAAAACUCUGUUAUUAGGGAAGAACAAAUGUGUAAGUAACUAUGCACGUCUUGACGGUACCAAAUCAGAAAGCCACGGCUAACUACGUG
This 497-nucleotide ribosomal RNA is filed under the name uncultured bacterium. Its description in RNAcentral is "partial 16S ribosomal RNA". It matches the Rfam family "Bacterial small subunit ribosomal RNA", at positions 28 to 507 of the family's 1533-position model. The record is from RNAcentral.